CAGAGUUUGAUCCUGGCUCAGAACGAACGCUGGCGGCGCGUUUUAAGCAUGCAAGUCGAGCGGCAAGGGCCUUCGGGCCCCUAGAGCGGCGGACGGGUGAGUAACACGUGGACAAUCUGCCCCCCGGCCGGGGAUAGCCCAGGGUAACCUGGAUUUAUACCGGAUGAGACCGGACGCACGAGGGUGCGAUCCGGGCCAGGCGCUGCGGCGCCGCCGGGGGAUGAGUCCGCGACCCAUUAGCUGGACGGCGGGGUUAAGGCCCACCGUGGCGACGAUGGGUAGCCGGCCUGAGAGGGUGGACGGCCACUUUUGAACUGGGACACGGUCCAGACUCCUACGGGAGGCAGCAGCUAAGAAUCUUCCGCAAUGGGCGAAAGCCUGACGGAGCGACGCCGCGUGAACGAAGAAGGACGUGAGGUUGUAAAGUUCCUUUCGGGAGGGGGAAUGACCGUUGCAGGGAAUGGCCGCGGGAUGACGUGAAUCCCGGAAUAAGCCCCGGCUAACUACGUGCCAGCAGCCGCGGUAACAGGUAGGGGGCGAGCGUUGUUCGGAAUCAUUGGGCGUCAAGGGCGUGCAGGCGGCACUGCAAGUCCGGCGUGAAAGACCCCGGCCCAACCGGGGGGGUGCGCUGGAAACUGCGGUGCUUGAGUACAGGAGGGGAUGCCCGAAUUCCAGGUGUAGGGGUGAAAUCUAUAGAUAUCUGGAAGAACACGGAUGGCGAAGGCAGGCAUCUGGCCAUGUACUGACGCUGAGACGCGAAGGUGCGGGGAGCAAACAGGUUUAGAUACCCUGGUAGUCCGCACAGUUAACGAUGUGCACCAGGUGGCCGGGGUAGAACCCCCGGUACCGUAGCCAACGCAUUAAAUGCACCGCCUGGGGAGUAUGCUC
RNAcentral lists this ribosomal RNA (888 nucleotides) under bacterium enrichment culture clone NRB-5. Its description in RNAcentral is "bacterial SSU rRNA". It matches the Rfam family "Bacterial small subunit ribosomal RNA", at positions 8 to 887 of the family's 1533-position model. The record is from RNAcentral.